This 497-nucleotide ribosomal RNA is filed under the name uncultured bacterium. Its description in RNAcentral is "partial 16S ribosomal RNA". It matches the Rfam family "Bacterial small subunit ribosomal RNA", at positions 28 to 507 of the family's 1533-position model. The record is from RNAcentral.
GAUGAACGCUGGCGGCGUGCCUAAUACAUGCAAGUCGAGCGAACGGACGAGAAGCUUGCUUCUCUGAUGUUAGCGGCGGACGGGUGAGUAACACGUGGAUAACCUACCUAUAAGACUGGGAUAACUUCGGGAAACCGGAGCUAAUACCGGAUAAUAUUUUGAACCGCAUGGUUCAAAAGUGAAAGACGGUCUUGCUGUCACUUAUAGAUGGAUCCGCGCUGCAUUAGCUAGUUGGUAAGGUAACGGCUUACCAAGGCAACGAUGCAUAGCCGACCUGAGAGGGUGAUCGGCCACACUGGAACUGAGACACGGUCCAGACUCCUACGGGAGGCAGCGGUAGGGAAUCUUCCGCAAUGGGAGAAAGCCUGACGGAGCAAAGCCGCGUGAGUGAUGAAGUUCUUCGGAUCGUAAAACUCUGUUAUUAGGGAAGAACAUAUGUGUAAGUAACUGUGCACAUCUUGACGGUACCUAAUCAGAAAGCCACGGCUAACUACGUG